This 280-nucleotide ribosomal RNA is filed under the name uncultured prokaryote. Its description in RNAcentral is "partial 16S ribosomal RNA". It matches the Rfam family "Bacterial small subunit ribosomal RNA", at positions 524 to 803 of the family's 1533-position model. The record is from RNAcentral.
CACGUAGGGGCGAGCGUUGUCCGGAAUUACUGGGUGUAAAGGGAGCGUAGGCGGGAGUGCAAGUUGAAUGUUAAAUCUAUCGGCUCAACCGAUAGCCGCGUUCAAAACUGCAUUUCUUGAGCGAAGUAGAGGUUGGCGGAAUUCCUAGUGUAGCGGUGAAAUGCGUAGAUAUUAGGAGGAACACCAGUGGCGAAGGCGGCCAACUGGGCUUUUACUGACGCUGAGGCUCGAAAGCGUGGGGAGCAAACAGGAUUAGAUACCCCGGUAGUCCCUGAGCGGG